Long non-coding RNA from Solea senegalensis (Senegalese sole), 479 nucleotides. RefSeq lists it as uncharacterized. The transcript is spliced from 2 exons. The record is from RefSeq and is a predicted model, not a curated record. NCBI's taxonomy places the organism in Eukaryota, Metazoa, Chordata, Actinopteri, Pleuronectiformes, Soleidae.
ACAGUACUGAGAUCCAACUCCACCACCUGAGCGAGAGACCGACGGACCAUCAUUUACGUUGGAAGAACGCCGCUGUGGCUCCGUACUCUGGACACAUGUUGGCGAUGGUGGCUCGGUCGGCGAUGGACAGCUGAGCCACACCGGGGCCGAAGAACUCCACAAACUUCCCCACGACGCCGACCUGGCGGAGAUGCUGAGAGCACAGACGGAGAGGAAGAUGAUCACGUAUGACACACGCACGUCGACUCUGUGAGGUACGAGCUGCACGAAAAGCGACUGUUUUUACCUUGGUAACAGUGAGGACAAUGUCAGUGGAUGUAAUGAAUUUAUCUGGGGUCCCAUGCAGCUUGUAUCCCACCACCUCGGGCAGGACCAUGCUUAUUGGCUGACCCAGCAUCACCGCCUCUGCCUCUAUUCCACCCACACCUGAAGGUUUAAGGUUAAAUUGUCACAUUAAAAUAAAAUGUUAAAAAAUCAAA